RNAcentral lists this ribosomal RNA (1327 nucleotides) under metagenome. Its description in RNAcentral is "bacterial LSU rRNA". It matches the Rfam family "Bacterial large subunit ribosomal RNA", at positions 1561 to 2925 of the family's 2925-position model. The record is from RNAcentral.
AGUGGAUGGGGAGCAACCUAGUUGUGAGUGUGGAAAGGUAGUGCCAAGAAAAGCUGUAUCAACGAUGAAAAUGGAGUCCGGGUACCCGAAACCGACACAGGUGGGCAAGUAGAGAAUACUAAGGGGCGCGAGGUAACUCUCUCCAAGGAACUCGGCAAAAUGACCCCGUAACUUAGGGAGAAGGGGUGCCACCGAAAGGUGGUCGCAGUGAAGAGGCCCAGGCGACUGUUUAGCAAAAACAUAGGUCUCUGCAAACUCGAAAGAGGAGGUAUAGGGGCUGACGCCUGCCCAGUGCCGGAAGGUUAAAGAAGUUGGUCAGGAGCAAUCUAAAGCUAGCGACUGAAGCCCCGGUGAACGGCGGCCGUAACUAUAACGGUCCUAAGGUAGCGAAAUUCCUUGUCGGGUAAGUUCCGACCCGCACGAAAGGCGUAACGAUCUGGGCGCUGUCUCGGAGAGAGGCUCGGCGAAAUAGGAUUGUCUGUGAAGAUACGGACUACCUGCAUUUGGACAGAAAGACCCUAUGAAGCUUUACUGUAGCUUGGAAUUGUGUUCGGGCUUCCUGUGCGCAGGAUAGGUAGGAGGCGAAGAAGGUAUGCUUGUGGGCAUAUUGGAGCCAACCGUGAGAUACCACUCUCAGGAGGCUAGAAUUCUAACUUAAUUAAGGACAGUUUCAGGUGGGCAGUUUGACUGGGGCGGUCGCCUCCAAAAAGGUAACAGAGGCGUACAAAGGUUCCCUCACACUGGUUGGAAAUCAGUGGUAGAGUGCAAAGGCAGAAGGGAGCUUGACUGCGAGACGGACAAGUCGAGCAGGGUGGAAACACGGUCUUAGUAAUCCGACGGUGCUGUGUGGAAGGGCCGUCGCUCAACGGAUAAAAGUUACUCUAAGGAUAACAGGCUGAUCUCCCCCAAGAGUUCACAUCGACGGGGGAGGUUUGGCACCUCGAUGUCGGCUCAUCGCAACCUGGGGCGGAAGUACGUCCCAAGGGUUGGGCUGUUCGCCCAUUAAAGCGGUACGUGAGCUGGGUUCAGAACGUCGUGAGACAGUUCGGUCCAUAUCCGAUGUAGGCGUGAGAAUAUUGAGAGGAGCCUUCCUUAGUACGAGAGGACCGGGAAGGACGCACCGCUGGUGUACCUGUUAUGAUGCCAAUCGUAAAUGCAGGGUAGCCAAGUGCGGAGAGGAUAACCGCUGAAAGCAUCUAAGUGGGAAGCCCACCUCAAGAUGAGUAUUCUGGUGUAAGGUCACGGGAAGACGACCCGUAGAUAGGCACAAGGUGGAAGUGCAGAGAUGUAUGAAGCCGAAGUGUACUAAUAGACCGUCGGCUUGACC